GUCAGGUCCUCUGUCAUAUUGUUUUCCGUGUCCUUCAACCAGUUUCUCUUGGAUUUCUCUGGCAUCGUCGAAGCACCUUUUUGUUCUUGAUGAACCUUCCCACCUCCCAGCCGUCAAAUAUUCAAACCACUCCUGGCGCCUGGUCUAAGACCUGUUGAGCCAACAACACCACUCCCUCCAUUCGUUCCCAACCGGCAGCAGCAGGAGCGCUCUUGUAAAUAAUGAAUUGAGAUCACCUUUUCAACGCAGACGCGACUCAUCGCUCACCCAGACCAGGCGUCUUUCUCUUGAGAGGAGGUUCUGCUGAGCAAACGCAUGAACAGAAGAAUCAACAGAAAGAAGGGAUCAAUGUUUACGUCCGCCUGUCGUGACCCGGGGGGCUCGGUGUAAUCCAGCCUCUCUCUGUGAUUGGAUGAUGGACACAGAGGUGAAUGCUAUUACUUAGUGGGAUCUAAGGCGACCUUUGACCCCUUGGCCAGCUGACCACCGACACAGUGAGUGGGCUGACCAUCAUGCAAACCUCUCUGUUUUGGGGGGGGUUCUUCGCGUUAUAUAAUUUACAGCGGGAGUGAAAUUCAAAUCAAGAAAUCAUUUAGCGUCUUGAUGCACUAUGUAUGAUUUCAGUCUAAGUUGUGUCUAAAGUGGCCACACUAAUUAUGUUGCACUCGCUCAACGUCAAACAGAUUCUCUUCUAUCUUUUUCUCAGUGUCGGUGGGUUUUGACUUUACUAAAUCUGUCACAAAUGUGUUGCUGGUUCUGCAGAACAACAUGCAGAACACACAUCAUUACCAACGGAUUACUUAUUUAUUCAUCAUCUGCUUCUCAAAGAAAACAGCUUCUUUAUUUAUGUGUUUUAAAAUCAACCCGAGAAACGACAAGUGCAGCAUAUUCUGUCUUCAUACUUAAUAUUAUCAAAUACAAUGCAGGACGUCUUCACUCUGAUGUGUCUCACACACUUUAACUGAACUGUGAACAGAUUGUUUUGAUAUUCAUGUAUCCUUCCUUCCUUCCUUCCUUCCUUCCUUCCUUCCGUC
Long non-coding RNA from Mugil cephalus (flathead mullet), 1034 nucleotides. RefSeq lists it as uncharacterized. NCBI's taxonomy places the organism in Eukaryota, Metazoa, Chordata, Actinopteri, Mugiliformes, Mugilidae. The transcript is spliced from 3 exons. The record is from RefSeq and is a predicted model, not a curated record.